GGUAGAAAAAGGAUUAAACCUUUAUAUUAGAGGUUACAACUCUACACCUAUUUCGGUCAUUUUACC
This 66-nucleotide transfer RNA is filed under the name Dicamptodon aterrimus (Idaho giant salamander). Its description in RNAcentral is "tRNA-Tyr". The record is from RNAcentral. Lineage: Eukaryota; Metazoa; Chordata; Amphibia; Caudata; Dicamptodontidae.